GGGCGGUUAGCUCAGUGGUAGAGCGUUACAUUGACAUUGUAAAGGUCAUAGGUUCGAUCCCUAUACCGCCCA
RNAcentral lists this transfer RNA (72 nucleotides) under bacterium. RNAcentral describes it as "tRNA-Val". It matches the Rfam family "tRNA". Rfam says of the family: Transfer RNA (tRNA) molecules are approximately 80 nucleotides in length. Their secondary structure includes four short double-helical elements and three loops (D, anti-codon, and T loops). The record is from RNAcentral.